This 954-nucleotide long non-coding RNA is filed under the name Ananas comosus (pineapple). RNAcentral's name for it is "long non-coding RNA (ACOM_LNC024631)". Lineage: Eukaryota; Viridiplantae; Streptophyta; Magnoliopsida; Poales; Bromeliaceae. The record is from RNAcentral.
GUAUAUAUAUAUACAACAUAUGGUACUAACUGUUAGCUUAAAUGGGUCAGUAUCUUAUCCUGUAACGGGAGGUCAUGUUGGGUCGAGUCAUGUUCGAAGUGGCAUGAGACUGGUUGGACCGAGUCACAAUCGAGACCCGUAGGCACUGUAUUUAUACGCUUUAAGUGAAUUGGUUGCGUAUUUCUUACAGCUCGAGCUUUUGGGAUUAAUGGUUCGUGCCAACGAUCCGACAGUAACUACUUAUCUAGAGUUUAAAUCAGGUGAAACACGCACUGCAAAUUAAAGAUUGAGUAUAUAAUAUUGCCAUGGCUACUAUACUAUUAUGAGUAUUGGAGCCCUCGUACUCAUAAGUUGUUUUCAAUGAUGGAGCUUCCGAAUCGACGAUCCACUCCAUUAAAUAUGAUAUAGAGUAUUUGAAACUUUUAGAAAAUAAAUUUCGUAAAUUUUCGAAAUCAUAAUAAAGUCCAUCAAGUGGGCAUAAAAUGAACGGUCAAAAUCGAACGACGUCCUAAAAAAGGAUGAUCAGAUCCUUCAAUUCAAGAUCGGAGUUAUUGAUCUUUAUCUAUGUAGUGAAUAGAAUUUUCUAUCAAAAAUUCAACAAAUUCCGAUUCUUUUACACCGUUAAACUAGCAAGUAUCCCAUACCGGCCGUUAAAAAUUGUCAAAUUUGUGACCUCUUGAUCGUACGGUAAAUGAUGUCGAAAAUUUAUAAAAUUUGAUUUCUAGAAGUUUUAAAUGCUGUAAAUAACGUUUAACGGUGUGGAUCGUCGAUUCGGAAGCUCUAUCAUUGAAAACAACUUAUGAGUACAAGGGCGAUCGUACUCAUAAUAGUAUAGUAGCCGGACCCUAUAUAAUAUAUAUGUAGUCGGAAAAUUUUCACCUUAUGAUAUAUAUAUAUAUAUAUAUAUAUAUAUAUAUAUAUAUAUAUAUAUAUAUAUAUAUAUAUAUGUAUAUU